UGGGCUAUCGCCAAACGGUAAGGCACUGGACUCUGACUCCAGCAUCUCUUGGUUCGAAUCCAAGUAGCCCAG
This 72-nucleotide transfer RNA is filed under the name Clostridiales bacterium. RNAcentral describes it as "tRNA-Gln". It matches the Rfam family "tRNA". Rfam says of the family: Transfer RNA (tRNA) molecules are approximately 80 nucleotides in length. Their secondary structure includes four short double-helical elements and three loops (D, anti-codon, and T loops). Further hydrogen bonds mediate the characteristic L-shaped molecular structure. tRNAs have two regions of fundamental functional importance: the anti-codon, which is responsible for specific mRNA codon recognition, and the 3' end, to which the tRNAs corresponding amino acid is attached (by aminoacyl-tRNA synthetases). tRNAs cope with the degeneracy of the genetic code in two manners: having more than one tRNA (with a specific anti-codon) for a particular amino acid; and 'wobble' base-pairing, i.e. permitting non-standard base-pairing at the 3rd anti-codon position. Lineage: Bacteria; Bacillati; Bacillota; Clostridia; Eubacteriales. The record is from RNAcentral.